This 344-nucleotide ribosomal RNA is filed under the name uncultured bacterium. Its description in RNAcentral is "bacterial SSU rRNA". It matches the Rfam family "Bacterial small subunit ribosomal RNA", at positions 32 to 352 of the family's 1533-position model. The record is from RNAcentral.
AAUCAACGCUGGCGGCGUGCCUCAGACAUGCAAGUCGAACGCGAAAUUUCCCUUCGGGGAGAAAGUAGAGUGGCGCACGGGUGAGUAACACGUAGGUAAUUUGCCUUUGGGUGGGAAUAACUCAGGGAAACUUGAGCUAAUACCGCAUAAUGCAGCGGCUCGACAUCGAGACAGUUGUUAAAGCGGGGAUUGAGCAAUCCGACCUCGCGCCUAAAGAGAAGCCUGCGGCAGAUUAGCUAGUUGGUAAGGUAAUGGCUUACCAAGGCGACGAUCUGUAACCGGCCUGAGAGGGCGGUCGGUCACACUGACACUGACAUACGGGUCAGACUCCUACGGGAGGCAGC